UGUUAUGCGACUAACUUCGUUCAGUUUGGUGUCAUACGAAGGUUUCCAGUUUCAUCACUGGGCAAAGUUUGUCGCAUAAA
Molecule: microRNA precursor, 80 nt
Filed under: Aedes aegypti (yellow fever mosquito)
Lineage: Eukaryota; Metazoa; Arthropoda; Insecta; Diptera; Culicidae
Description: pre miRNA AAEL018791
Rfam family: mir-3 microRNA precursor family
Source: RNAcentral